Molecule: long non-coding RNA, 501 nt
Organism: Salvelinus fontinalis (brook trout)
Lineage: Eukaryota; Metazoa; Chordata; Actinopteri; Salmoniformes; Salmonidae
Exons: 3
Source: RefSeq, a predicted model, not a curated record
GGUGGAGGGGUGUUGGAUAGGGUAAGGUAUAGUGGUGGAGGGGUGUUGGAUAGGUAAGGUGUAGUGGUGGAGGGGUGUUGGAUAGGGUAAGGUAUAGUGGUGGAGGGGUGUUGGAUAGAUAAGGUAUAGUGGUGGAGGGGUGUUGGAUAGGGUAAGGUAUAGUGGUGGAGGGGUGUUGGAUAGGGUAAGGUAUAGUGGUGGAGGGGUGCUGGAUAGGGUAAGGUAUAGUGGUGGAGGGGUGUUGGAUAGGGUAAGGUAUAGUGGUGGAGGGGUGUUGGAUAGAUAAGGUGUAGUGGUGGAGGGGUGUUGGAUAGGUUAAGGUAUAGUGGUGGAGGGGUGUUGGAUAGGUAAGGUAUAGUGGUGGAGGGGUGUUGGAUAGGUAAGGUGUAGUGGUGGAGGGGUGUUGGAUAGGUAAUGUGUAGUGGUGGAGGGGUGUUGGAUAGGUAAUGUGUAGUGGUGGAGGGGUGUUGGAUAGGUAAUGUGUAGUGGUGGAGGGGUGUU